CAACACCCUGUACACGCGUCGCUAAUUGAAUCACAUAGGCUGCGCAAGCGCCGCGCAAUCAGACAUAGCGCUCAGUCGGCGCACGGGUCACCUGCCGUCAACAGGGCUUGCGACAUUUGACGUGCAUGCGCAUAAUAACUACGUAUUUACUUUUAACUUGGUAACGUAUUUUUCCACUGUUUUUCAAAUAAAUACUCAACUA
This is a long non-coding RNA of Ostrinia nubilalis (European corn borer), 202 nucleotides long. RefSeq lists it as uncharacterized. The record is from RefSeq and is a predicted model, not a curated record. The transcript is spliced from 2 exons. NCBI's taxonomy places the organism in Eukaryota, Metazoa, Arthropoda, Insecta, Lepidoptera, Crambidae.